RNAcentral lists this ribosomal RNA (468 nucleotides) under uncultured bacterium. Its description in RNAcentral is "partial 16S ribosomal RNA". It matches the Rfam family "Bacterial small subunit ribosomal RNA", at positions 29 to 507 of the family's 1533-position model. The record is from RNAcentral.
ACGAACGCUGGCGGCGUGCUUAACACCUGCAAGUCGAACGGAAAGGCCCUGCUUGCAGGGUGCUCGAGUGGCGAACGGGUGAGUAACACGUGGGUGAUCUGCCCCUUACUUUGGGAUAAGCCUGGGAAACUGGGUCUAAUACUGGAUAGGACCAUGCUGUAGGUGGUGUGGUGGAAAGAUUAGUUUCGGUAAGGGAUGAGCUCGCGGCCUAUCAGCUUGUUGGUGGGGUAAUGGCCUACCAAGGCGUCGACGGGUAGCCGGCCUGAGAGGGUGGACGGCCACAUUGGGACUGAGAUACGGCCCAGACUCCUACGGGAGGCAGCAGUGGGGAAUAUUGCACAAUGGGCGCAAGCCUGAUGCAGCGACGCCGCGUGGGGGAUGACGGCCUUCGGGUUGUAAACUCCUUUCAGCCAUGACGAAGCCCUUGUGGUGACGGUAGUGGUAGAAGAAGCACCGGCUAACUACGUG